Molecule: long non-coding RNA, 1151 nt
Organism: Macadamia integrifolia
Lineage: Eukaryota; Viridiplantae; Streptophyta; Magnoliopsida; Proteales; Proteaceae
Exons: 4
Source: RefSeq, a predicted model, not a curated record
UAGAUCGACGUCGACCGGUUAUGACGUCAUUUCCGAGUGAAGUCAAGUGGUUAUGAUGGACCUGUAAUGGAAACAAUAGUGUGUAAAACUGUAAAGUUUAAAAAAGGUGGAAAGGUUGCGAACCAAUUUGUGCAGUUUCAGCAUCAGUUAAAUACGCAUAAUACGUGAGAAAACGUCGUGGAAGAAGCUACGUAGCUACAACUGAAAACUAUCCCCUUUUCGAACUCUGAGAUCACAGACCUAGUGAAGGGGUCAUCGUUUCUGGAUCAACAGCGCUGUGGGCUGACCCGUCAAGCAAUGGCAAACCUUCGUCGACCAUUGGCGCGCAAAAUCGAAGCUAGCUCUACCUUGACGACUUUGGCAAUCAUGUUGAUGAUCUUAAAAGCUUUGCAAGUUAAUGGCCUCAAGUGUGGAACUGUAUUAGAACCUUGUGUAAGCUUCUUGGUAGAAAAUAGUCCGCCCCCGAGGCCCGGUGAUGGAUGCUGCUUAAGCUUAGUUAAGACCCGAGCUGAUGCCUGCAACUGCAUCAAGAAUUUUUCUGUGUUUCACAAUUUUAACCUCGCGAAAGCCAACCAACUCCCCUCUCGCUGCAACUUCAAGUGCAUAUAAGUACUCACAAGCUCCAUUAUCUUAUUCUGUAACUUAUUCUGUGAGUUACAGUAUGUGUUGUAAUAUGGGUAAUAAUAAUAUUUAUGUAACAACUGCCUAGCGCUGAGCUGUGGUGUGCAAAAUCUCAUGCUCACGAAGAGGUGCAACUUCAAGUGCAUAUAAGUACUCACAAGCUCCAUUAUCUUAUUCUGUGAGUUACAGUAUGUGUUGUAAUAUGGGUAAUACUAAUAUUUCUGUAACAACUGCCUAGCGCUGAGCUGUGGUGUGCAAAAUCUCAUGCUCACGAAGAGGUGCAACUUCAAGUGCAUAUAAGUACUCACAAGCUCCAUUAUCUUAUUCUGUGAGUUACAGUAUGUGUUGUAAUAUGGGUAAUACUAAUAUUUCUGUAACAACUGCCUAGCGCUGAGCUGUGGUGUGCAAAAUCUCAUGCUCACGAAGAGGUGCAACUUCAAGUGCAUAUAAGUACUCACAAGCUCCAUUAUCUUAUUCUGUGAGUUACAGUAUGUGUUGUAAUAUGGGUAAUACUAAUAUUUCUGUAACAA